UUUCCCCAAAUUACCACCUCCGUUUAAAGGUCUCAUAGUAUGAAAAUUUCACUUUAUGAGGUUUUUUAACAUUAAUGUGAGUUCCCCCUAGCCUCCCUAUGGUCCCCCGGUGGCUAGAAAUGGUAAUAGAUGUAAACUGAGCCCUGG
This is a long non-coding RNA of Sander lucioperca (pikeperch), 147 nucleotides long. RefSeq lists it as uncharacterized. NCBI's taxonomy places the organism in Eukaryota, Metazoa, Chordata, Actinopteri, Perciformes, Percidae. The transcript is spliced from 3 exons. The record is from RefSeq and is a predicted model, not a curated record.